AUUGAACGCUGGCGGCAUGCCUUACACAUGCAAGUCGAACGGCAGCAUGAUCUAGCUUGCUAGAUUGAUGGCGAGUGGCGAACGGGUGAGUAAUACAUCGGAACGUGCCCUGUAGUGGGGGAUAACUAGUCGAAAGAUUAGCUAAUACCGCAUACGACCUGAGGGUGAAAGUGGGGGACCGCAAGGCCUCAUGCUAUAGGAGCGGCCGAUGUCUGAUUAGCUAGUUGGUGGGGUAAAGGCCCACCAAGGCGACGAUCAGUAGCUGGUCUGAGAGGACGAUCAGCCACACUGGGACUGAGACACGGCCCAGACUCCUACGGGAGGCAGCAGUGGGGAAUUUUGGACAAUGGGCGAAAGCCUGAUCCAGCAAUGCCGCGUGUGUGAAGAAGGCCUUCGGGUUGUAAAGCACUUUUGUCCGGAAAGAAAUGGCUCUGGUUAAUACCUGGGGUCGAUGACGGUACCGGAAGAAUAAGGACCGGCUAA
RNAcentral lists this ribosomal RNA (483 nucleotides) under Ralstonia sp. oral taxon B67. Its description in RNAcentral is "bacterial SSU rRNA". It matches the Rfam family "Bacterial small subunit ribosomal RNA", at positions 30 to 500 of the family's 1533-position model. The record is from RNAcentral. Lineage: Bacteria; Pseudomonadati; Pseudomonadota; Betaproteobacteria; Burkholderiales; Burkholderiaceae.